Molecule: ribosomal RNA, 433 nt
Filed under: uncultured bacterium
Lineage: Bacteria
Description: partial 16S ribosomal RNA
Rfam family: Bacterial small subunit ribosomal RNA
Source: RNAcentral
AACGAACGCUGGCGGCAGGCCUAACACAUGCAAGUCGAGCGGACCCUUCGGGGUUAGCGGCGGACGGGUGAGUAACGCGUGGGAAUAUGCCCUUCUCUACGGAAUAGUCCUGGGAAACUGGGGGUAAUACCGUAUACGCCCUUUGGGGGAAAGAUUUAUCGGGGAAGGAUUAGCCCGCGUUGGAUUAGGUAGUUGGUAGGGUAAUGGCCUACCAAGCCGACGAUCCAUAGCUGGUUUGAGAGGAUGAUCAGCCACACUGGGACUGAGACACGGCCCAGACUCCUACGGGAGGCAGCAGUGGGGAAUCUUAGACAAUGGGGGCAACCCUGAUCGAGCCAUGCCGGGUGAGUGAUGAAGGCCUUAGGGUUGUAAAGCUCUUUCAGCUGGGAAGAUAAUGACGGUACCAGCAGAAGAAGCCCCGGCUAACUCCGUG